Molecule: small RNA, 130 nt
Filed under: Cronobacter dublinensis
Lineage: Bacteria; Pseudomonadati; Pseudomonadota; Gammaproteobacteria; Enterobacterales; Enterobacteriaceae
Description: RtT sRNA
Rfam family: RtT RNA
About the family: This family represents a bacterial cis-regulatory element known as RtT RNA. The exact function of RtT is unknown although it is thought that it may be involved in changing the cellular response in relation to amino acid starvation.
Source: RNAcentral
GCUAUCUGUACGUCAGGCAGAUUCGAACCUGCGGCAGGUUCGGGUCGAGCCAUUCAUGGCGAGACACCGGAGCCGUUUAUGGCAACGGCCCGAAGGGCGAGCGAAGCGAGUCAUCCUGCACGACUCACCA